UUUUGUUUUAUUAUGCACUUUAUUGUUAUGGUUUUUUUUGACUAUUUUUCUAUUUUUACAUCUCUUUAUCUUAUUUUCUUUUUGUCUAUCUUCUUAUUAGUGUGCUCGAAAACAUUUACUUCAUUUAGAAUCUCCUACGAUUCUGGAUUUCAUUAUUUAGGCGAAAUCAUCCAAAUUCAGGGCAGUUUCAAUUCUCUUCCUCACUUAUGAUAUUUUGCUUAUUGUGUUUAUAAUUGUUUGUACAUUGAGGGCAAUGUACAUCUUAAGUGAGGGGAGGAUUUUAUAUGUUUAUGUGAUAUACUCCAUGAACUAUUUUUUGUGUUUAAGUAAU
This 331-nucleotide long non-coding RNA is filed under the name Gossypium raimondii (Peruvian cotton). Its description in RNAcentral is "long non-coding RNA (GRAI_LNC000699)". Lineage: Eukaryota; Viridiplantae; Streptophyta; Magnoliopsida; Malvales; Malvaceae. The record is from RNAcentral.